UAAAAUAUAGCUUAAAUAAAGCAUUUUGCUUACACCAAAAAAAUAUUUGUUAACCCAAAUUAUUUUGA
RNAcentral lists this transfer RNA (68 nucleotides) under Desmognathus marmoratus. RNAcentral's name for it is "tRNA-Val". It matches the Rfam family "tRNA". Rfam says of the family: Transfer RNA (tRNA) molecules are approximately 80 nucleotides in length. Their secondary structure includes four short double-helical elements and three loops (D, anti-codon, and T loops). The record is from RNAcentral. Lineage: Eukaryota; Metazoa; Chordata; Amphibia; Caudata; Plethodontidae. RNAcentral also lists the same sequence under 1 other name.